AUUGAACGCUGGCGGAAUGCUUUACACAUGCAAGUCGAACGGCAGCACGGGAGCUUGCUCCUGGUGGCGAGUGGCGAACGGGUGAGUAACAUAUCGGAACGUACCCAGUCGUGGGGGAUAACUCUCCGAAAGGAGAGCUAAUACCGCAUACGUCCUGAGGGAGAAAGCGGGGGACCUGCAAGGGCCUCGCGCGAUUGGAGCGGCCGAUAUCGGAUUAGCUAGUUGGUGAGGUAAAGGCUCACCAAGGCGACGAUCCGUAGCGGGUCUGAGAGGACGACCCGCCACACUGGAACUGAGACACGGUCCAGACUCCUACGGGAGGCAGCAGUGGGGAAUUUUGGACAAUGGGGGCGAACCCUGAUCCAGCCAUUCCGCGUGAGUGAAGAAGG
This 389-nucleotide ribosomal RNA is filed under the name uncultured bacterium. RNAcentral's name for it is "bacterial SSU rRNA". It matches the Rfam family "Bacterial small subunit ribosomal RNA", at positions 29 to 414 of the family's 1533-position model. The record is from RNAcentral.